GACGGGGGAUGCAAGCGUUAUCCGGAAUCACUGGACGUAAAGCGUCUUUAGGUGGUGAUGCAAGUCACUGGUGCAAAACUCUGGCUCAACCGGAGGAAAGCCAGUGAAACUGCAUGACUAGAGUGUGGGAGAGGUAGAAGGAAUUCCCUGAGUAGCGGUGAAAUGCGUAGAUACAGGGAAGAACACCGGAGGCGAAAGCGUUCUACUGGAACACAACUGACCCUGAGAGACGAAAGCUAGGGGAGCGAAUGGG
Molecule: ribosomal RNA, 253 nt
Filed under: uncultured bacterium
Lineage: Bacteria
Description: partial 16S ribosomal RNA
Rfam family: Bacterial small subunit ribosomal RNA
Source: RNAcentral